Caenorhabditis elegans is the source of this 141-nucleotide non-coding RNA. The record is from Ensembl. Lineage: Eukaryota; Metazoa; Nematoda; Chromadorea; Rhabditida; Rhabditidae.
CAAAUAGGUGUGUGCAGCAAACCGCAACGGGUGACCGGCCUGGCGAUCGCGCACUAGCCGUACAACAAUUUAAUGGAAUAUAUGGUGCGAUAAGAGAGACCAUAAACGGGACUGUGUGAGAGAAACACGAAUAUUGACUUC